GCCCCUAUCGUCUAGUGGUCCAGGACGCCGCCCUCUCACGGCGGUAACGCGGGUUCAAAUCCCGCUGGGGGUACCA
RNAcentral lists this transfer RNA (76 nucleotides) under Actinomyces sp. Its description in RNAcentral is "tRNA-Glu". It matches the Rfam family "tRNA". Rfam says of the family: Transfer RNA (tRNA) molecules are approximately 80 nucleotides in length. Their secondary structure includes four short double-helical elements and three loops (D, anti-codon, and T loops). The record is from RNAcentral. RNAcentral also lists the same sequence under 4 other names. Lineage: Bacteria; Bacillati; Actinomycetota; Actinomycetes; Actinomycetales; Actinomycetaceae.